Molecule: unclassified non-coding RNA, 263 nt
Filed under: plant metagenome
Description: partial contains small subunit ribosomal RNA and internal transcribed spacer 1
Source: RNAcentral
AAGUCGUAACAAGGUUCCUGUCAGGUGAACCUGCGGAAGGAUCAUUACCGAGAUGGGGUCCUUCGGGGCCCGACCUCCAACCCAAUGUCUACCGUCCUUGUUGCUUCGGCGGCGCCGCUCUCGGUAUGACCCAGAGAUGGGACAUUUUCGAGACCGUCGGCUCCUUUUUACCGGGGGGCUUUCGAGUGCCCGCCGGGGGAUUAAGGACACAAACUCUUUACGAACCCGAUUCUUAAAUAUUUGAUUUUUAAUAAACUUCAAAA